CUCAGUUUUCAAUAUGUACACCAAGUCUCUCAUUCUGGCCAAGCAAAACUAUAUAACAAAAGAUUUCUUGGAUUACAAAAAUAUGAUGACAUAGUUAAGCAAGGUGAAUCCUGUUUAGACCUUUCAAGCAAAGGCACAAUAGCUUAUUUGGAGAGGCCAAUCAUUCUCAAUGCUUCAGUUAGAAGAUAAAAUGACAUGAAAAAAAAUUAUCCUCCAAAAAUAUGAAACCUGUGCACAAAUUUAGCCAACAAAAAAUAAAAGAGCAAUUGCAAGUCCAAAUUUAUUCUUUCUAUAACAUUAGGGAUUGGAGAUAGAUUAUAUUGCACAUUUGAACAAGGGAUGGACUCAACUAUCUUGCUGACUGAUUCUGUUGG
RNAcentral lists this unclassified non-coding RNA (374 nucleotides) under Hevea brasiliensis (rubber tree). The record is from RNAcentral. Lineage: Eukaryota; Viridiplantae; Streptophyta; Magnoliopsida; Malpighiales; Euphorbiaceae.